Non-coding RNA from Podarcis lilfordi (Lilford's wall lizard), 72 nucleotides. Lineage: Eukaryota; Metazoa; Chordata; Lepidosauria; Squamata; Lacertidae. The record is from the annotation of a GenBank genome assembly.
GGGGCCAUGGCUCAGAAGAAAAACAUUUGCCUUGCAUGCAGAAGGUCCCAAGUUCAAUCCCUGACAUCUCCA